AUUGAACGCUGGCGGCAGGCCUAACACAUGCAAGUCGAGCGGAUGAAGGGAGCUUGCUCCUGGAUUCAGCGGCGGACGGGUGAGUAAUGCCUAGGAAUCUGCCUGGUCGUGGGGGAUAACGUCCGGAAACGGGCGCUAAUACCGCAUACGUCCUGAGGGUGAAAGUGGGGGAUCUUCGGACCUCACGCUACCAGAUGAGCCUAGGUCGGAUUAGCUAGUUGGUGGGGUAAAGGCCUACCAAGGCGACGAUCCGUAACUGGUCUGAGAGGAUGAUCAGUCACACUGGAACUGAGACACGGUCCAGACUCCUACGGGAGGCAGCAGUGGGGAAUAUUGGACAAUGGGCGAAAGCCUGAUCCAGCCAUGCCGCGUGUGUGAAGAAGGUCUUCGGAUUGUAAAGCACUUUAAGUUGGGAGGAAGGGCAGUAAGUUAAUACCUUGCUGUUUUGACGGUACCAACAGAAUAAGCACCGGCUAACUUCGUG
RNAcentral lists this ribosomal RNA (484 nucleotides) under uncultured bacterium. RNAcentral describes it as "partial 16S ribosomal RNA". It matches the Rfam family "Bacterial small subunit ribosomal RNA", at positions 30 to 507 of the family's 1533-position model. The record is from RNAcentral.